AUGCUUAACUGCUCUUUCAAUGGUAGCAAAAUCCUUAGGAAGCUUCUUAAUGACUUUUACAUCAUUGGAAAGAGCAUGAAUAAAAUGAUCUUCAUCAAAAAUAUCCGAGAAGUUGCUAGAGUCUUUCCAAAAUGAAUGUUUGUCAAGUUCGGGAAUCACGAGGGUUGCAUUAAUUAUACGUGCUAUUGCAACCAUGUCACAUAUCCCAG
This 209-nucleotide unclassified non-coding RNA is filed under the name Hevea brasiliensis (rubber tree). The record is from RNAcentral. Lineage: Eukaryota; Viridiplantae; Streptophyta; Magnoliopsida; Malpighiales; Euphorbiaceae.